This 253-nucleotide ribosomal RNA is filed under the name uncultured bacterium. RNAcentral's name for it is "partial 16S ribosomal RNA". It matches the Rfam family "Bacterial small subunit ribosomal RNA", at positions 524 to 776 of the family's 1533-position model. The record is from RNAcentral.
GACGUAGGGCGCGAGCGUUGUCCGGAUUUAUUGGGCGUAAAGAGCUCGUAGGCGGUUUGUCGCGUCUGCUGUGAAAGCCCGAGGCUCAACCUCGGGCCUGCAGUGGGUACGGGCAGACUGGAGUGCGGUAGGGGAGAAUGGAAUUCCUGGUGUAGCGGUGGAAUGCGCAGAUAUCAGGAGGAACACCGAUGGCGAAGGCAGUUCUCUGGGCCGUAACUGACGCUGAGGAGCGAAAGCGUGGGGAGCGAACAGG